Molecule: ribosomal RNA, 468 nt
Filed under: uncultured bacterium
Lineage: Bacteria
Description: partial 16S ribosomal RNA
Rfam family: Bacterial small subunit ribosomal RNA
Source: RNAcentral
GACGAACGCUGGCGGCGUGCUUAACACAUGCAAGUCGAACGGAAAGGCCCUGCUUUUGUGGGGUGCUCGAGUGGCGAACGGGUGAGUAACACGUGAGUAACCUGCCCUUGACUUUGGGAUAACUUCAGGAAACUGGGGCUAAUACCGGAUAGGAGCUCCUGCUGCAUGGUGGGGGUUGGAAAGUUUCGGCGGUUGGGGCUGGACUCGCGGCUUAUCAGCUUGUUGGUGGGGUAGUGGCUUACCAAGGCUUUGACGGGUAGCCGGCCUGAGAGGGUGACCGGACACAUUGGGACUGAGAUACGGCCCAGAAUCCUACGGGAGGCAGCAGUGGGGAAUAUGGCACAAUGGGCGGAAGCCUGAUGCAGCAACGCCGCGUGCGGGAUGACGGCCUUCGGGUUGUAAACCGCUUUCGCAUGUGACGAAGCGUGAGUGACGGUAAUGGGUAAAGAAGCACCGGCUAACUACGUG